Molecule: unclassified non-coding RNA, 210 nt
Filed under: Hevea brasiliensis (rubber tree)
Lineage: Eukaryota; Viridiplantae; Streptophyta; Magnoliopsida; Malpighiales; Euphorbiaceae
Source: RNAcentral
GGGUAUGUCAACAAAACUGAAUCUUCCAAUGUACAUAAACGAGAUAGGGAUCACUUGGUUGUUUCUUCCACCUCACAUGAACAUGGUAAGGAUCAGUUGCUUGUUUGGCCAUGGAUGGGAAUUAUUGCUAAUAUCCAAACUCAGUUUCAAGAUGGCCGUCGUGUUGGGGAAAGUGGUGCAAAACUUAGGGAUGAACUAACAAGAAAGGGG